This is a long non-coding RNA of Dreissena polymorpha, 1410 nucleotides long. RefSeq lists it as uncharacterized. Lineage: Eukaryota; Metazoa; Mollusca; Bivalvia; Myida; Dreissenidae. The record is from RefSeq and is a predicted model, not a curated record. The transcript has 2 exons.
UAACAAGCGUUUGUGAUUUGUCUGGAUAAUAAUAACAUUAAGAUAUCGAAAAGAUCAAAGCAAAUAAAUUCGACAGAAAUCUAAGAUUCGGCAAUAUAUUUAAGACGGGUUAUGUUCACUUAAAUUGUGUUUGGUAAAGACUGUAACUAUAUGUAGUGAACCAGUCUUCGGCUUAUACUCACUGAAGAAGAGCAUUCAGGGGAGAUAAUUGAGUAAUGACUUAAUUCUGGAACGGUUGCGAAGAAAAACAAAUAAUGCGAGAAUAUUUAGUGCGAUUCGCUACACAAUUAUGAUGUCAUUGAUAUAACUUUUCCUGAGAAGCUGUUCUGCGAAGUCGAAGGCAAGAGCUGAGCAUCAUACAAGCCAUUCUAUCCAGCAAAACUGACAGUUUUGGUUUACAGAAAUCAACAAAGGAGGGAUUCCUGAACUAUCAAAUUUCCAAGCUAUACACACAGUUAUUAUCUGUGGUGAUCUUUAUUGGUUCUGCUUGUUUACUUGGAUGGAACAUGUGUGAACUUUUAUAGAACUUUGAAAAGUCUAUAUAUGUCUAUCUAUAAACAAAAAUCAGCCAUUGUAUAAUAAGAUCAGAUGUACAAACAAUGUCAAAGGGUUGUUAAAUUAAGGCAAUUAUGCUGAAAAAAAAGAAAGUUUCCAUGCAAAUUUUGUCUGUAUAUCGACAAGUGUCUGCCGAUAAUUGUCAAACUAGUAAUACAAAACUUACCACAAGUAUGUAAAAGCACCUAAGUACCUGUGAUCAUUUUUAGUAAGAUAGUGUAAUUCUAAAUUGUAGCAAAUAGCUUGUUUAGUAAAUGCAUAAUGUAAUUAAUAUGAUUUCCGUUCUAUUGUGUAAUUAAUAAAUUGGUUGUUACUUGUUAAUCCAUGAUAAAUGUUUUAUGGCUAGUACAAAACCAGCAAUGUUAAUUUUGUAAAAGGUAAUACAAUAACACCACUUUGUAAUUUCCUAUACAUUAAUAUUCUUGAAAUGUAGGUUGAUGAUUGUGUUUUAGUUUUACUUAUUUUGUAACUAUUAUUUUAUGUGCAAAUAAAUGAUGUGAAGUGUUUUGUAUCGCCACACAAUACCACAUACCUUUUUAUAUAUGUACUGUGUUAUGUGUUAUAUGAAUGUUUAAAUAAAAAAAAAGGAUGAUAUAACAUGAUGCAUUCUAAUAUUUGCAUUCAAAUUGUAACUAUAGAGCUAAGUGUAUGCAGUUUAGACUGUGAUUUUAAAAUUGCUACAAAAUGGCUAGUUUUUUAGUGGCGACAAAAUUUAAACUUUUCAACAAUAGUUUGCGAAAGAAAAUUAGAAACCUGCAAGAUACCUGUAUUUAUUAAAUAUUUUAAUUGCGAAUCAAGUAUGUUGUUAUGCUGUUACACAUAAUUAUACAUUGAUAAUAAAUAAGAAGACAAUUA